RNAcentral lists this long non-coding RNA (698 nucleotides) under Homo sapiens (human). RNAcentral describes it as "HSALNT0026705". The record is from RNAcentral. Lineage: Eukaryota; Metazoa; Chordata; Mammalia; Primates; Hominidae.
CCUUGAGCUAAUGGAAGAAGACAUAAUGGAGCCUUCAUUCCUUCUGCCCACGUGAAAACCUGUGACUCUGCUCAUCAGUGAGAGGCCUCUUCCACACAGAGAUGGGCUUUCAACUUGUUGCCCAGGCUGGUCUUAAACUCCUGAUCUCAAGCAAUGUGCCUGCCUCAGCCUCCCAAAGUCCUGGGAUUACAGACAUCAGCCACUGCAUCUGGCCGAAUAUCCAAGAUUUUCAUUGAAGGAGUUACUUAACAUGGCGAGGAGGGCUGGGCAGUGGAGAGAAUGAGCAGGCACAGGUGGCAGUUGGAUUCUCAAUAUAUACCUUUAAAGAAGUUUGAGUGUGAAUCACAGGCUGAAAGGGUUUGGUUCUGUGUCCCCCACCCAAAUCUCAUCUUGUAGCUCCCAUAAUUCUCACAUGUUGUGGGAAGGACCCGGUGGGAAGCAUGGGGGUAGGUCUUUCCCGUGCUGUUCUUGUGAUAGUGAAUGGGUCUCACGACAUCUGAUGGUUUUACAAACGGGAAUUUCCCUGCACAAGUUCUCUUCUGUUGUCUGCCACCAUGUGAGAUGUGCCUUUCGUAGUCCUCUGUCAUGAUUGUGAGGCCUCCCCAGGCACAUGGAAAUGUCAGUCCAAUUAAACCUAUCUUUUGUAAGUUUCUCAGUCUUGGGUAUGUCUUUAUUAGCAGCAUGAAAAUGGACUAAUA